AAUGUGGUUAAUGAUGCACACUUUUUUUCCCCGUCUUAUCGAUUUUUGGUGAAAACACUAACUAAGCCAGUUGUGUCUGAAACCACAUC
Molecule: small nucleolar RNA, 89 nt
Organism: Thalassophryne amazonica
Lineage: Eukaryota; Metazoa; Chordata; Actinopteri; Batrachoidiformes; Batrachoididae
Product: small nucleolar SNORD12/SNORD106
Exons: 1
Source: RefSeq, a predicted model, not a curated record